Molecule: long non-coding RNA, 309 nt
Filed under: Gossypium raimondii (Peruvian cotton)
Lineage: Eukaryota; Viridiplantae; Streptophyta; Magnoliopsida; Malvales; Malvaceae
Description: long non-coding RNA (GRAI_LNC002983)
Source: RNAcentral
GCAGGGGAGAGGUUGAGAGCUUUUUUUUAGUUUUUUUUAAACAGAAAGGGGGGGCCGACCCGGCAUAGGAUCCGCGUGUUUUAUACGGAGGGGCAAAUUACGCUUUUAGCCCCUCUGCCUUUUUAAUAUUUUACAAUUAAUUUUUUGAUUUUUUUAAUUCGCCCAUUAAUUUGUUUUCAAUUUCAAUUUGGCCCUAGUUGAACGACACCGUUUUAGUGGAGAAGGGAAAAUUUUCCUUCCAGCCCCUCUAUGUCAUUCGCAAGUUUAAUUUAGUCCUUCGGCUUUAAUUAUUUACGGAUUUCCCCAGAU